This 542-nucleotide ribosomal RNA is filed under the name uncultured bacterium. RNAcentral's name for it is "bacterial SSU rRNA". It matches the Rfam family "Bacterial small subunit ribosomal RNA", at positions 224 to 783 of the family's 1533-position model. The record is from RNAcentral.
GAGCAGGCGAUAUCGUAUCAGGUAGUUGGUAGGGUAACGGCCUACCAAGCCGACGACGCGUAGCUGGUCUGAGAGGACGACCAGCCACAUCGGGACUGAGACACUGCCCGGACUCCUACGGGGGGCUGCAGUAACGAAUCUUCCGCAAUGCACGAAAGUGUGACGGAGCGACGCCGCGUGGAGGACGAAGUCCUUCGGGAUGUAAACUCCUGUCAGGGGAAAGAAAGUUCUGAUCUACCCCAGAGGAAGGCACGGCUAACUCUGUGCCAGCAGCCGCGGUAAGACAGAGGUGCCGAGCGUUAGGCGGAAUCACUGGGCUUAAAGCGUGUGUAGGCGGGUCGUUAAGUGCCUUGUGAAAUCCCAUGGCUCACCCAUGGAACUGCUGGGCAUACUGGCGACCUUGAGCCACCUAGGGGCAACUGGAACAAGCGGUGGAGCGGUGAAAUGCGUAGAUAUCGCUUGGAACGCCAACGGUGAAAACAGGUUGCUGGGGGUGUGCUGACGCCGAGACACGAAAGCCAGGGGAGCGAACGGGAUUAGAU